GUGAUCUUCCUGCCUCAGCCUCCAGAGUAGCUGGGACUACAGUGAGAGGCAGGGAUGUGUUACUGCCAAAGGCCAGUGUUGUAAAUUCUGAAGCCUAAGGGAGCCACACAGGUAAGCAAGAAGCAUGGGUCAGGAUUUUUAAAAUUUUGAACACAAGUAAUAAAUGACAACUUAUCUAUGUCAGUGAUUAUUACUGUGGUACAUAGAACAGUGUCUGCUCUAUCCAAAGGGAAUGGAGAGAUGAGCCCACUGUUGCUGAAUUUUCCAGAAAAAUCUGGAUUCUUUAAAAUGGUACAUCUCUCAAUUUUUAAAUGUUGGCAAUGCAUUCCAUAUAAUAUAAAUUUCUUCCUUUCUUUUUUAAUUAACAGUAGGCCAAAACAACAAGGGCAAACCAAACAGGUGCUUAGAUUGAAUUUAGACCAUAAGCCAUCAGUUGGUAAUCUCUAGAUUAAAGAAUAUUAAAAUAAAAUGAACCUAUCUCCGAAAAGUCACUCUAAAAUAUGCUUGAACCUUGUUGGCAGAGGAGUAAGUUGUUAUGCUUUUCUCACUACCUCUGAGUUUCUGUCAAUAUUUAUGUCUUUUUUAUCAUCCACCCACCUGUCCAUCCCUCUUUCAUCUAUCCAUUUGUUCACUGUCAUCAAGCUUCAAUAAUGAAUUACUGGAUGUUAAGGAGGAUUCAAAGAUGUACAUGACAGAAUCCCUCAGCUUAAAGAAUUCCCAGCAUCUGAGGGGUGUUAUCAGGGAUGGGUGGUAUUAUUAUACAUGAGUGGAUGACAGAGAUGGGUAGCAGAAAGGAGGAUGGAGAUGGAGAUGAUAAUGACAGAAGGAGUGAGUGCAAACAAGCCCUUCCAGCUAGAGGAUGCCUAGCUCCACCUCUUCCCUCUCUCUACUCCAGUUCCAGCUGUCUGACCUCACUUGCUUAACUCCACAUCAGUCAUUGUUCAUACCCUUCUCUUCCCAACAAGACCCAGGCUCAAAGCUACAGUGAUUGCUAUCCUUUGCAGAGGAAACUACAUGACAGAAAAAUGGUGCAAAAUUCCAGCAUUCAUUACUUCUAGCUCUUCCACUGUCUUUAGAUCUUAAUAUGAAGAAUCACCAGAGGAUGACGGAGGGGAAAUCUAAAAGCUUGGAUACAGAUGUGACUUCAGCUGCUGCAUCUUUAUGACCCUGUGUGGCAUAAUAAAAAUAUAUAUAUUUGGUCUUUGUCCAGGUUCCUGGAACACAUUGAAGUCUCUGAAAUUAUAAGAAUGUCUUUUGUAUGCUAAUGAGAUGAUGGGUGGCUGGGAUGCCUAGAUAGCUUCAGAAUAAGGGCUGGUCAAACCAGAAAAAACAAGGUGGAAUUUUUGACCCUCCUUCUCUCCAUUUCCAGGAAGAGAAGAGAAGCUAGAAAUGGAGUUAAUUGCCAAUGACCAAUGAUUUAAUCAACCAUGUGUAUGUAAUGAAAACCUCCAUAAAAAUUCCUACACAAUGAAGUUCAGAGAGCUUCUGGGUUGAUGAGUACACCCAUAUGCCAGGAAGAUCAUACACCCCAACUGCAGAGGGACAGAAUCUCAACACACUUCCAGACCUCGUCAUAUGUACUUCUUCAUUUGAAUCCUGUCCAUUCGAAUCCUGUGUAAUAUUCUUUAUAAGAAAUGAUUAAUAGCGAGUAAAGUGCUUUCCUGAGU
Microcebus murinus (gray mouse lemur) is the source of this 1667-nucleotide non-coding RNA. NCBI's taxonomy places the organism in Eukaryota, Metazoa, Chordata, Mammalia, Primates, Cheirogaleidae. The record is from RefSeq and is a predicted model, not a curated record.